CGCGCUGCCGCCGGCGGUCUGUGGGGUCCCGCCCCCGCGCAAGGCGGGGCCGACGGGCCGCGCUGGUUCUGUCCCGCAGCUGCGAAACCGGCCGCUGUGAGGUCCCCGGCGCGGUCCCGCGAGCUGGGCUUGCUCGGUGACAGCGGAAGGCGCUGCCCGCUGGGCCCAGGUGGCGGGGGAAGGCGGCAGCAUCGGUGCAGGGGCAAACCGAGUGCACGAGGAGGCAGGGGCCGGAAAGGGUCCGAGGGCGACAGGUUAAGAAGAAGGAGAAGCGCUGCCGCCAGUGGCGGAGGGGAAACCCUGGAUUUUCAACAGUUCAGAAGAAUCUACAAAAAUUCAGAAACAGAAUAUAAUCCUUAUUCUGACACCAGAUUUGAGGAAAGAGACAAAAAAAGGGAUCAGUAACUUUUUAUGGUACAUAUUGAAAAAGUAUGGUCUCUGGAUCACCAGCUGUCUGCAUCAAUGAGUGUACGAAACAUCUGCAGUUCACUGGCUUUCCAGUGACACCAUUAAUUUGAAAAGUGGAGGAGAAACAGCAACACCUUUCAGCUGAAUGAGGGCAAUAGCCGUUUCUUCUCUUCAAAGGGAUGUAGUUCAUUAAUAUUUAUAAAGCACUUUGAGUUGGUCAGAGAGAAGGUGCUAUGGAAAUACAAAUAUUACUUGGAGUGCUUUUCAUGCCUUGUCUAGACUAGGAUUUAAAAGUGUAGUGUUUGCCUGUGUUAUCCAACAUGUUCCAACACAUUGAUAUUUUGCCUUAAGACAUGCUAAAUUGGUCAAGUUGAAGACCAGGUUCCUCCCUAGGCUUUAAAUCAACCAGUUUAGUAUGUGUUGAAGGCAGCAUGUCUUAUCUUCACAUCAGCAAAUGUGUGCCAAUAUUACACUUUUGAUCCUAGCCUAAGCAAGAUUUGAGUUUAUCUUAAAGCCU
This is a long non-coding RNA of Mauremys mutica (yellowpond turtle), 925 nucleotides long. RefSeq lists it as uncharacterized. The record is from RefSeq and is a predicted model, not a curated record. The transcript is spliced from 3 exons. NCBI's taxonomy places the organism in Eukaryota, Metazoa, Chordata, Testudines, Geoemydidae.